This 53-nucleotide non-coding RNA is filed under the name Xenopus laevis (African clawed frog). RNAcentral's name for it is "APC internal ribosome entry site (IRES)". It matches the Rfam family "APC internal ribosome entry site (IRES)". From Rfam's summary of the family: This family represents an APC internal ribosome entry site (IRES) which is located in the coding sequence of the gene. APC is a tumour suppressor gene which is associated with the inherited disease adenomatous polyposis coli (APC). The record is from Rfam by way of RNAcentral. Lineage: Eukaryota; Metazoa; Chordata; Amphibia; Anura; Pipidae.
AGCCUUCCUCUUACAGAAAAUUUUUCCAUGCAGACUGAUAUGACCAGAAGACA